Long non-coding RNA from Ictalurus punctatus (channel catfish), 7086 nucleotides. NCBI's taxonomy places the organism in Eukaryota, Metazoa, Chordata, Actinopteri, Siluriformes, Ictaluridae. The record is from Ensembl.
GGCUCUGAUGCUUAAAAUGUUUCACUACACGAUCUCGCCCGUCUAGAUUCCUCUUCCUGUAAUGCUUGUGGAAUUUUACACCGAUAAUAAACCUGUAAUUCAACUUUGCCUCUUUUAUAUUUACUAUCUAGGUGCUGGCAAAUGACACGCCCUCAGAGUUUAAGAAGCCGGACCCGUUUCAGCAUCAACACACCCUACAGCGCUUCUUAUUCACAGCAUACAUAAUCAUCCGUCUUAUCCGUACAGACAUGGAGGCCAGAGUGAUUGUAGCGGUUGUGUUUAUCUGCGCUGUUUGUCGCUUCUCUGAAGCCCAGCUGCAGAACACGACACCACUCACUAACAACAUCACUCGUACUGGUUGCGGCACCACUAAGCUGUGUGUGUCGACUCCGUCUAAUUGCGAUCUUGCAGGAAACUCCAGCUGUUAUUUCAGCUCUACUCAGUACAAUAAUGCAACACUGACCGUGGAACUCUCCGGCACGACUUCAGGAUACGUGGCAUUGGGACUCACACCCACUAGCAGCCUAUUUAAUUUCAAUGGAACUGCUGUGUUCGUCUGUGGCAACAAUAACAACAGCGCCUUCUUCGAAACAGCUAUUCAGAACGGCUCAGUGUUGACUCCUGCUAACCUGACCGCCUUAAAUAUAACCAGUGUUCAGGGUUCAGUAUUGGGAAACGGGAGUCUUGUUCAGUGUGUCUUCAAUGUCACCCUCAAUUCCACCUUCCUCAAUUCCAUCUUCCUCAGUUCAACUGUUCAGCUGUCUUCCAACAUCAGCAUCUAUAAUGGAAGCACAAAUGGAACUGAACUGGAAAAUGCAACUACAUUAAUUACCACCGGACCUUUCGACUUGGCAAAUCCCAAGAGCAAUAUUCCAAGCAACAGCACAACACCACUGCUCAACAUCACUCGUAACGGUUGUGGCGCCACUAAGCUGUGCUUGUCAAAUGCGUCUACUUGCGAUCCAGCAGGAGACUCCAGCUGCUUUUUCAGCUCAUUUCAAGUGAACAACCAAAGUAUCUACUAUGAACUUAGUGGCACGACAUCAGGAUAUGUGGCGCUGGGACUCACUACCCAGAAUUCUACCUUUGUGUUUGUGUGCGCCAACAACACUAACAACAGCAGUUUCUUCUUUCAAACGGCUACUAAAAACGGCUCAGUUCUGACUGCUGCAAAUGUGACCACCGUAAACAGCUAUCAAGGUGUUGUAACACAAAACCUCAUUCAGUGUGUCUUCAACACCAGCGCCACUUUAAGCACCAGAGCUUCUAACACUGUGUACAGGAUCUACCUCAUGAACGGAACCACCAACGGAACUGAACUGGGUAUUGCAACUACACUGUAUACCUCCCCAUCAGCAGUAGACCUGUCUAAUCCUAGUGCCUUAAACACUGCAAACACCAACUUCUGCACUAAUGUGUUGGCUGUGCUGCUCGCCACUCUGACUCUACACCUCAUAUAAAAACCUGCCAUGUUCAUUUUAAUAUAAAAUCCCCAGAGCCUAUAAAUGUGUGUUACAGUAUCUGAUCUGUGCAUGUGUGUUUAUACAUUUAUGAAGCUAUUGUUAAUUGGCUGAACAUGGAACACAUCUGUCAUAUACAGUAUAAACAUCACCCUUUUAUUUAUUUAUUUAUUUUUUUUUUUACAGUCAAUACGAGAAAUUCAUUUGCACUUCCAUAGACGUCAGACUUUUAAAUAUAAAAAUUUAUAAUAACGAGGGCGCAAAUGUUUUGAAUAAAAUCUACUUUAUAUGAUCAUUUUAAUUAUUAAAUAAUUGUAAUUUCAGUAAUUUCAUGCUCAUCAUUUUUAUUUGAGAUACUUUAUACACCUAGGUGAAUGUAAGUUUCCACCCCUAAAACCUUUCUAUAUGUUUUUCACUUUUGUUGGUUGAUAUCAUACUAAAGGUAAACAAAUAUCUAACAUGACUUGAUUUUAUUUUGUUGUUUUUUAAAUAUCAUUUAAACUAUUUUAACAGGUGUGUAGACUUUUUUAUAGUCACUGUGUGAGCUGACAGCUGGGAAAAUACACACGAGUGAAAGCAGCCUUAACGGUGUAUUUCUUUCUUUUUUACAUUUGACCUACAAUGUUGUCUAAAAGCACUCAUGCCGAUUUUGUAAUGAUCUAAACUGCUAAAAUACCUAACUAUAAAAGAUUUCCAUAUCAGCAUAUUUAUACAUUGUCAUAUGUGGGUUUGUUGUUGUUGUUGUGUCACAUUAUUAAGAUGGCCCCAUUUAUAAUGACUACAGUACUGUGCAAAAGUUUUAGGCACCCUAUUUGUUGUUGUUUUUUGUACAAACUUUGUUUGCUUGUUUUUUUUUCAUUUUAUGACGUCUACAUUAUGGAGUUGGUACAAAAAAAAAAACGUUUUAGAUUCCCAAACAUUCGUUUUCUGGCACAAAAGUAAAUGUUACAGAAAAAAGUAAAUCUUACAGUUGUUAAAGAAAGCAGCGUAUUAAGAGGUAACAGAUGACUUUUCAGGCAAAAAAACCAUGACGAACGCUGCUGGGUUUCGCUGCAAAAACAAGAAGUGCGUGCAACAGUCAAAGUCUCCAGAAGGUUCUGCGAGAUGCUCAAUGCCACGGUGAGCUGGCGAGCCUGAAUGCAAUGGUGGUGACAAUAAGAAGAUCAGUGAGUGAUCAGCUUGUCUAACCAGGAGAUCUGCGGAUUGUGGAUUUGCAUCCAUCGGAAGCCUAGGAUGAUGGGGUGCUUAGACAUGACUCUGACCAGGAAUGAGAUCUGCUCCUGAUAGUGUACACUGACUCGUAAGAGGAGGGGCCAUGUGCAGAGGUUGAUGGUGCCUCCCUCGAUGGGCCCACCGUCAAUGGCAUAGAUAUGCAGAGGGUGCUGCAGGGGCUGAGUCGGAAUGUUCAGGUGAGUCACGAAGUAACCAGCUGACCUGAUCCACGCUGUCAAAAGAGAAACCACUUCUGUGUUGUACCAUGACCUGAAGCUGAAGCACAACUGGUGGGAUAAAGACUGAUGAUGCAGUGGCCAUGCCCUCUUCGUAUAAAAAGAGUCACACAACAUCUUCAACUCCAUUAAAUAUCUUUCCUCAUACAAAAUCGCCGAUCAUUUCAUUACAGGUAUGGAGGCCAAACUGAUUGUAGUGGUUAUGUUUGUCUGUGCUGUUUGUCACGGCAUCAAAGCCAAUCUGCAGACACCAAUGAUUGUUAACACUAGCAUCACUAACACUGGCUGUGGAAGCACUAAACUAUGUGUGUCAAGUGCACCUAAUUGUGAUCCUUCAGGAAACUCCAGCUGCUUUUUCAGUUCCAUUCAAGUGAACAACCAAACUGCGUCCAUUGAACUCAGUGGUACAACAUCUGGAUAUGUCGCACUGGGACUUACUGCCAGUAACCAAUCAGAGGGAGGUGCUGUUGUGUUCAUCUGCGGCAACAGCAACACCGUAAACAGCACUUUCUUUUUUAACACUGCUACUCUAAAUGGCACGAUGCUGACGUCUGCUAAUGUGUCCACUGUAAACAGUGUUCAGGGUGCUUUAAGACAAAACCAGAGCCUCGUUCAGUGCACCUUCAACACCACCACCAAUCUGACCAUCAACAACAGCAGCAACUUGAUAAUCAGUAACACCAGCACCUUUUACAUCACCAUCAUGAACGGAAGCUCAAACGGAACAACGCUGAACAAUGCAGCUGUGGUGUUUAAUUACAGCGCACCAUUAGUCCUGACUAACAGCACAGUGAACGUUGUUAGCAGCACCUACACCGUUCAAUCACCGCUCAACAUCAGUCGUAAUGGUUGUGGCAGCUUGAAAAUGUGUUUGUCGACGCCGUCUGCUUGCGAACCUGCAGGAUCCGGCUGCACUUUCAUGUCUUCUAAAGUGAACAACCAAACCAUUUUCUUUGAGCUCAGCGGCAGAACGUCUGGAUAUGUCGCACUGGGACUCACGAAACAGAAUUCCACUUAUGUGUUUGUCUGUGGCAACAACUACAACAGCAGCAGCAACAGCAGCAGUUUUUUCUUUCAAACAGCCACUCAAAACGGCACAGUGUUGACUCCUGCUAGCGUGUCUAAUGUAUACUAUUAUCAGGGUGAAGUAACACAAACCAAGAGUUUUAUUCAGUGCAUCUUCAACAUCACCACCAAUGCCAGUGACAACGUGUACAACAUCACCAUCUUCAGUGGAACCACUAACGGAACACAAAUGGGAACUGCAACAACACUGCUUGCCACCAGAGUAGGUUUAGACCUGUCUAAUUCCAGUGCACCACUCAUCCUGAUCACCCAGAGUCCCCAGACUAAUCCUGCAAAUGGCUGUAACUCAGUAGUCAGCCUCUGGACUCAUGUGUUGGCUGUGCUUCUCAGCGCAAUGAGUCUCCACUUCGUCACUUCACACAGUAUAAAUUAAGUAUAAAUGUGUGUUGAAAGUCACAAGUGUGUGUGUGUGUAUGUGUGUGUGUGGGUAAAAUAUGAAACCAUCCUUAAUUGGCUGAACAUGAAGUCAAGCCUGUAACCUAAAUUAUAUAUUGGCACUCUGUUUUGUAAAUAGAUUUCUGAACUGUGGCUAAAAUGUAAAAAGAAAACCUUUUUGGAAUAUAUAAAUGACAUUAAUUUACACCAAAUCAGAUUCUUUUUUUUCUUUAUAACUGUGAAUUAGAAUGCAAAUGUACUGAAUUAUUAAAGUAUGUUUCUUACGACUUUCAGCUGUUUGUUAAUUAUUCAGAUUUAAUGCCCACAAUAACUAGAGUAAGUAACUGUUAUACUAGCGGCUGUGGUACUAAAUUUGCACAUAAAACAUUUGCAGUCAAGUCUCAAUUGCCAUAAUUAUUAUUUCCAUGGUGCAUUCAGUUAUUUCCAGUGUUCCCAGGACAGAUCCGCUGUGACCCUGACCACGAUGAAGGACUUUCUGAAAAUGAAUGAAUAAAUGGAUGAGUACACUAAACUGAUUCAUCAUAUUAGUUAGAAAAUAUAUCGCAGCCUACUGUACAUGCCUAAGCAAGGAUAGAGAGAUUCCCCCUUUAUAAUAUAGCUACAAGUAUAUGGCUAGCAAUAGCUAAUAUUAAUAGUGUUGAAUGCAAGAGCAGGUAGGUAUGCUCUGCUUGUUUUCCAGGUGUGUGCAGGUCAAUGAAUGCCUGAUAUGAUGUGUGCCUGUACGCUGCUUCUCAUCACACUGCCAAUCAUCACACUGUGGAAAGUUUGGCUGGAGGCACUUUGGUGGGAGAGUUUGGUUGUUUGGUUGACAUUUUCGAGCACCACUUACGGCAUUUGCCAGAUGCCCUUAUCCAGAGCGGCUUACAUUCAUCUCACUUAUACAUUUGAGCAGUUGAGGGUUAAGGGCCUUGCUCAGGGGCCCAGCAGUGGCCCUUGAGCCACUGACCUUCUGGUGAAAAGACCAACGUGCUUAACCACUGAGCUACCACUGCCCCUAGGGUUAGGGUUAGGGGUUAGAGUUAGAUAUAUAAUGCUUAACUUUAGGGAAGCUUGUUUUUGGUUUUGCUUUGUUCUUUCCUUUGUCAAUAACCACAAUCUAGCCUCUGUUUGUUUUUGUUCAGGACUGUUUACUGUUCUAUGUACUGUGUCAUGUGCUUUCUUUUCUGUUGCCUGACCAUGUGGCGUUAAAAAAAAACAGCUCAUUGUGCACAUUAAAUACUUUGAGAUGCAUUCUUCUGUUGUGUUUGUGUGUGUUUAACCCUUUUGGUUGCUGGUUGCCUACACUCAUCAACUGUUGGACAGUACUGUUACAAGCCCCAUUUAUCCCUAGAACUACUCAGUGUACUUGAGGUUGCUGAAAUUAAAAUGUAAGCUUUCGCCAGAGAGGAGAGCAGCGAGUACAAUUGAGUAUUUUAGCAAGAGAACAGAUAGUCACUAGAAUAGAAUAGAAAUUUAUUUUCUGUAUGUGUCCAUUUCAGCUUCCAUCAGACUGUUGGACUGUCCUUAUUGACUCAAAAAGAACCCCACCUCUACUUUCUUGAGACGAGGUUGUUCCUUCUCAGGUCUGUAUGCAGGUCCGAUUUGUCAAACAACUGGCACAUACCUGAAGACUCAGUGUGAGCAGAAUACUUUCUGUAUGGUAGCGGCCCAGCCUCUCUUACUGCUACCUCCAUAUAGCUUGUAGCACUGUCCAUACCAACAGCCUCUCUCAUUGCCAUAUCCACAUUGUGCGCACUGCAUUCAAAACAUCUGAUUUCAACACCUUAGCUAUGUUUAUUCCAUUUUGUACCCUUAAAACUAAGGGUAACAAAGCAACCAAACCAAUGGCAUUUCCACAUUAGUAAGGUUAAAUAAAUUAUGUUUAAUAAUUUUAAAUACAAACUAAUAUGUCAAUCGGUCUGUACUGUGUUUCACUUUUUUAUAUUCAUUCUAUUAAUCUUUUAAAUAAACUGUAUAUGAUUUUGUUUUCUGGAUUUUAAUUAGAGCACCUGUUUAUGGAUUGAAUAAAUGAUGUAAAACAAUCAGUUUAAUGCUGAAUAGUAAGGGAUUAUGAUUGUUACCUGUUACUCCUAAGUAGGAAAGACUUUUUUUUAUUGACAGGGUUUACCAAAAGGUGGAGGUGUAUUUACUAAAAGAAGACUUACUACUUAUAAACCACAGUUCAGGCAGCCAUUUUGAAAAUGAACUUGACUUCUUUUCCCGUGCAAAUUAGCCAACCCCAAGCUCCGCCCCCUUUACCUACAAUUUCUGCCCAGCAACAAGUGAUUAGGAAUUUCGACUCUUUUCAUUGAGUCGGAUCAAGAAGAGUCGACUCUUUCGGCUCGAAAACGGCUCACUGCCUUUUUAUUUCUCUAAACGGAUGAAGCCGUGAUUGUUGUUCUUUGCAUAACUGUGGCUGAAACUUGUUUUAUUAAAUCUCACUCUACUUUAUAAUUGACAAAAUAACCUUGUAUUUGAUUUUAUAAAAUCUAUUAAAAGUAGUUACAUCAGCAAUGAACUGCAUACUGAGAAAAAAAAUCUCUGCAUUUACGUUAUGUAUGGUAUUUUUGUAAAUGGUGUGUCUGUGCUUCAACAUUUAUUUCCACAAAUAAUGUCUUGGGACAUUAAUCAUUGUAUUGUUAAUUAUAUUGUGAUUGUAUGGUGAGGCCAAAGACCAAUUUUCAGCCAAGGCUGAACAAUAAAGUACAACUAACUUA